AUGAACGCUGGCGGCGUGCCUAAUACAUGCAAGUCGAGCGAACGGACGAGAAGCUUGCUUCUCUGAUGUUAGCGGCGGACGGGUGAGUAACACGUGGAUAACCUACCUAUAAGACUGGGAUAACUUCGGGAAACCGUAGCUAAUACCGGAUAAUAUUUUGAACCGCAUGGUUCAAAAGUGAAAGAUGGUCUUGCUGUCACUUAUAGAUGGAUCCGCGCUGCAUUAGCUAGUUGGUAAGGUAACGGCUUACCAAGGCAACGAUGCAUAGCCGACCUGAGAGGGUGAUCGGCCACACUGGAACUGAGUCACGGUCCAGACUCCUACGGGAGGCAGCAGUAGGGAAUCUUCCGCAAUGGGCGAAAGCCUGACGGAGCAACGCCGCGUGAGUGAUGAAGGUCUUCGGAUCGUAAAACUCUGUUAUUAGGGAAGAACAUAUGUGUAAGUAACUGUGCACAUCUUGACGGUACCUAAUCAGAAAGCCACGGCUAACUACGUG
RNAcentral lists this ribosomal RNA (496 nucleotides) under uncultured bacterium. RNAcentral's name for it is "partial 16S ribosomal RNA". It matches the Rfam family "Bacterial small subunit ribosomal RNA", at positions 29 to 507 of the family's 1533-position model. The record is from RNAcentral.